UGGAUACGUUGGAUGUCAUGAAUUCCAGAGAGAGAAAGAGAGAAAUUAACUAGCUAAAAUUGUUUGAAAAUAUAGCUUAGAAAGAGAACCAGAAUAAACAAUUAUGAGAAAGAAUGGCUCGCUAAGAGAAAGAGAAUUGCUAGUGAGAAUUGUUCAAAAAACAACAGAGUUUAGAUACAGAAGAAAAAUGCACUAUAUUGAUCAAAUGAGCUGAUAAAUAAAGUAUAAGAAUAUAAUCUAUAUAACAUGUGUUUCAAGCACUAUAUCAAAAUCCCACUUCUCAAGCAAACCCCUAAAAAUAUACAGUAAGAAACAAUAUGAGACACCAAAUACAAUUAAAUUAAUAGAAGGUAGAAAGUGAAUCAUACUCAAUUUUUAUUAGGUUUCUAAUCUUAUAGGUACCUCGAUACUCCCCGGCCAACGGUAGCAAGCGAUCAAUUAGGAAAAAAGAGUAACAACAAUACCUUUUCCCCACCAACAAAACUUUGGGAUCCACGAACAUCUCCUCAUCAUGGGCAGAGUUUACAGCUUCACGAACCGCCAUCAAUGAAAGAAAUAUGGUCAAAAGUUAGGGUUCAACUUCAGAGUUAGUGUUCCAUUUAGGAGGCCGAAUUGCAACAAAUAUGGUU
Molecule: long non-coding RNA, 629 nt
Filed under: Ananas comosus (pineapple)
Lineage: Eukaryota; Viridiplantae; Streptophyta; Magnoliopsida; Poales; Bromeliaceae
Description: long non-coding RNA (ACOM_LNC003167)
Source: RNAcentral